CCUGAUGCAGCGACGCCGCGUGAGGGAUGACGGCCUUCGGGUUGUAAACCUCUUUCAGUAGGGAAGAAGCGAAAGUGACGGUACCUGCAGAAGAAGCGCCGGCUAACUACGUGCCAGCAGCCGCGGUAAUACGUAGGGCGCAAGCGUUAUCCGGAAUUAUUGGGCGUAAAGAGCUCGUAGGCGGUUUGUCGCGUCUGCCGUGAAAGUCCGGGGCUCAACUCCGGAUCUGCGGUGGGUACGGGCAGACUAGAGUGAUGUAGGGGAGACUGGAAUUCCUGGUGUAGCGGUGAAAUGCGCAGAUAUCAGGAGGAACACCGAUGGCGAAGGCAGGUCUCUGGGCAUUAACUGACGCUGAGGAGCGAAAGCAUGGGGAGCGAACAGGAUUAGAUACCCUGGUAGUCCAUGCCGUAAACGUUGGGCACUAGGUGUGGGGGACAUUCCACGUUUUCCGCGCCGUAGCUAACGCAUUAAGUGCCCCGCCUGGGGAGUACGGCCGCAAGGCUAAAACUCAAAGGAAUUGACGGA
This 525-nucleotide ribosomal RNA is filed under the name Arthrobacter sp. Its description in RNAcentral is "bacterial SSU rRNA". It matches the Rfam family "Bacterial small subunit ribosomal RNA", at positions 382 to 917 of the family's 1533-position model. Lineage: Bacteria; Bacillati; Actinomycetota; Actinomycetes; Micrococcales; Micrococcaceae. The record is from RNAcentral.